AAAUGAUUUAUAUUUAUCCGCCUAGAGAGAAGCUCGCGGCUGAUUAGCUUGUUGGUAAGGUAAGAGCUUACCAAGGCGACGAUCAGUAUCUGGUUUGAGAGGACGAUCAGACACACUGGAACUGAGACACGGUCCAGACUCCUACGGGAGGCAGCAGUGGGGAAUUUUCCGCAAUGGGCGAAAGCNUGACGGAGCAAUACCGCGUGAGGGAAGACUGNCUAUGGGUUGUAAACCUCUUUUUUCAGGGAGGAAUCAAUGACGUGUACCUGAA
Molecule: ribosomal RNA, 271 nt
Filed under: uncultured cyanobacterium
Lineage: Bacteria; Bacillati; Cyanobacteriota
Description: partial 16S ribosomal RNA
Rfam family: Bacterial small subunit ribosomal RNA
Source: RNAcentral